AUGCUUUAAACAAAACCAAAAAAAAAUUGAAAUCGUCACAUAAACAAACUAAUCGACAAGACGAGGGAUAAAUGACAAGGGAUAUAUCUCUUGUCUUUUAUCCCUCUAUUCCCCACUAUUCACGGAGCCUGAGGUGAAUAAUUGUUAAUUAAAUAGUCUAGAUAGAUAGAUAGCCUAGUCAAGUCUUUAUUAAUACCAAACGACACAAAUCGUCGGGAAUCCAUUUAGGUGGUUCGGCCCACACAGGACAGUAGCCUACAAGACCACACAGAACAAGUCUGACUGGACAUACACACAAUACAUCACAUUAAAACUAGACACGCGUUGAUAGAUAGAUAGACAGAAAGGCCUAGAUAUAUAGAUAUAUUCCAUUAUUUGCCUUGCGGAGCCAACCAGUCCUGUGCACGUAUGCAAAUUAGCCAUGUGCGACAAUGACUAUUUGUUUUGAAUGCAACGAAUGAGUGCAGAUCAUGAUUUGCAGAUCCAGAUCAGUGAAACAUAUUUCAACUACUACAGCACGCAGGGUUUUUUGUUCUCGGUUGUAAUUAGCCUACAUUUUAGGAUUUUUUUUUAUAUUGGGGGGAAUCCCUGUCCUACUUGUUGUCGAAGCACUUUAUCGAACAAGCAAAACCGUCUCGGCAAUAUGGCCAAGGUGUAUGGGAGAGUUCACUAUUUGAUAUGGCUGUCUGUAGGGCCUACUAAACGCAUACGGCUCCUUUUAAAUGCUUCUGCAUAAUUGAAUUGUACGUCAUGAGCGACCAAAGCGAACAGAAAAAUUCGUAGGGAAACUUUGUGAGCGACCAAAGCGUCUUCGCUCCUGGUGUGGACGUACAGUAGGACUCUGUCUGAGGAGAGCUGCUGGAGGAGCUGAGACGCUGGAGGAUGACUAGGAAUCGACCAACAAGGAUUCCUCAACGUGUUCCUGGAGAGGAGGCGAGCUGGUAGGGGAGCCGUGAAUCUGGAGGAUGAACAUCACUCUACAAACAAGGAUUACCACGACUCUGGCUGUGGAGAGCUGAUGGAGGAGCCAAGACUCUGGAGGACGACAUCGCUCCACCAACCAGGAUCCUCAGACAAAUUGCGUUUCUAACCAGACCAGGAAUCUGGAGGAUGGAGAUGGAGAAGCCGUACAUCUGGAAGGAAAAUCCUGAGGAUCACCAGCACUCUACCAUCAAGGAUUCCUCAUAAGUUUGCAUUAUCUGGACAUGGUGGACUAGACGCACCUGAGCUGAACCUCACCUGAUCCUGUUUGGUCGGGGGUAGACACACCUGAACUAAACCCGCCCUGAUCCUGACAUCCUGCUGGUCCCGUCUCCUCAGUUCAUCUGAGCCUUGUCCUCCAGAAGACCUGCUGAGCUCAGCAGUCUGAGGCUGAUGGAUCACUGACCUCCAGUGGGAGUGAUCUUCUUGACCUCACUACUUCACUACUCUCUACUGCUUCCUCUUUUCUUCCUUCUCUCUGGUUCAAAUCUUUACACUGAAGGCGCGUCUUCCUGCCCUCAGAGAGUUUAGCGUUAGGGUUGAGAGUCAGGGUUUAGAGUCAGGGACAGAGCUGGUCAGGGAGGACUGCUUUUACACAAACCUCUUCACUUGCUUUCGGAAUGGUGGUGACAUUUCGAAAAGAUUAACUUGGAAAAUGUUUUCCUCUGCUUUCCUUUAUAAUAUUGUAUUACAUUUCUGUCAAGUGUUUUUGUUUUCAUAUAUUAAAAUCCCACAUUGACUUCUA
This is a long non-coding RNA of Gadus macrocephalus (Pacific cod), 1726 nucleotides long. RefSeq lists it as uncharacterized. The transcript is spliced from 5 exons. The record is from RefSeq and is a predicted model, not a curated record. Lineage: Eukaryota; Metazoa; Chordata; Actinopteri; Gadiformes; Gadidae.